AUUAGACGAAUCAUCUGGAAAGAUGAAUCAAAGAAGGUAAUAAUCCUGUAGUCGAAAAUGUUGUCUCUCUUGAGUGGAUCCUGAGUACGACGGAGCACGUGAAAUUCCGUCGGAAUCUGGGAGGACCAUCUCCUAAGGCUAAAUACUCUCUAGUGACCGAUAGUGAACCAGUACCGUGAGGGAAAGGUGAAAAGCACCCCGGAAGGGGAGUGAAAUAGAACCUGAAACCGUGUGCUUACAAGUAGUCAGAGCCCGUUAAUGGGUGAUGGCGUGCCUUUUGUAGAAUGAACCGGCGAGUUACGAUUUGAUGCAAGGUUAAGCAGUAAAUGUGGAGCCGUAGCGAAAGCGAGUCUGAAUAGGGCGUUUAGUAUUUGGUCGUAGACCCGAAACCAGGUGAUCUACCCUUGGUCAGGUUGAAGUUCAGGUAACACUGAAUGGAGGACCGAACCGACUUACGUUGAAAAGUGAGCGGAUGAACUGAGGGUAGCGGAGAAAUUCCAAUCGAACCUGGAGAUAGCUGGUUCUCUCCGAAAUAGCUUUAGGGCUAGCCUCAAGUGAUGAUUAUUGGAGGUAGAGCACUGUUUGGACGAGGGGCCCCUCUCGGGUUACCGAAUUCAGACAAACUCCGAAUGCCAAUUAAUUUAACUUGGGAGUCAGAACAUGGGUGAUAAGGUCCGUGUUCGAAAGGGAAACAGCCCAGACCACCAGCUAAGGUCCCAAAAUAUAUGUUAAGUGGAAAAGGAUGUGGCGUUGCCCAGACAACUAGGAUGUUGGCUUAGAAGCAGCCAUCAUUUAAAGAGUGCGUAAUAGCUCACUAGUCGAGUGACACUGCGCCGAAAAUGUACCGGGGCUAAACAUAUUACCGAAGCUGUGGAUUGUCCUUUGGACAAUGGUAGGAGAGCGUUCUAAGGGCGUUGAAGCAUGAUCGUAAGGACAUGUGGAGCGCUUAGAAGUGAGAAUGCCGGUGUGAGUAGCGAAAGACGGGUGAGAAUCCCGUCCACCGAUUGACUAAGGUUUCCAGAGGAAGGCUCGUCCGCUCUGGGUUAGUCGGGUCCUAAGCUGAGGCCGACAGGCGUAGGCGAUGGAUAACAGGUUGAUAUUCCUGUACCACCUAUAAUCGUUUUAAUCGAUGGGGGGACGCAGUAGGAUAGGCGAAGCGUGCGAUUGGAUUGCACGUCUAAGCAGUAAGGCUGAGUAUUAGGCAAAUCCGGUACUCGUUAAGGCUGAGCUGUGAUGGGGAGAAGACAUUGAGUCUUCGAGUCGUUGAUUUCACACUGCCGAGAAAAGCCUCUAGAUAGAAAAUAGGUGCCCGUACCGCAAACCGACACAGGUAGUCAAGAUGAGAAUUCUAAGGUGAGCGAGCGAACUCUCGUUAAGGAACUCGGCAAAAUGACCCCGUAACUUCGGGAGAAGGGGUGCUCUUUAGGGUUAACGCCCAGAAGAGCCGCAGUGAAUAGGCCCAAGCGACUGUUUAUCAAAAACACAGGUCUCUGCUAAACCGUAAGGUGAUGUAUAGGGGCUGACGCCUGCCCGGUGCUGGAAGGUUAAGAGGAGUGGUUAGCUUCUGCGAAGCUACGAAUCGAAGCCCCAGUAAACGGCGGCCGUAACUAUAACGGUCCUAAGGUAGCGAAAUUCCUUGUCGGGUAAGUUCCGACCCGCACGAAAGGCGUAACGAUUUGGGCACUGUCUCAACGAGAGACUCGGUGAAAUCAUAGUACCUGUGAAGAUGCAGGUUACCCGCGACAGGACGGAAAGACCCCGUGGAGCUUUACUGUAGCCUGAUAUUGAAAUUCGGCACAGCUUGUACAGGAUAGGUAGGAGCCUUUGAAACGUGAGCGCUAGCUUACGUGGAGGCGCUGGUGGGAUACUACCCUAGCUGUGUUGGCUUUCUAACCCGCACCACUUAUCGUGGUGGGAGACAGUGUCAGGCGGGCAGUUUGACUGGGGCGGUCGCCUCCUAAAAGGUAACGGAGGCGCUCAAAGGUUCCCUCAGAAUGGUUGGAAAUCAUUCAUAGAGUGUAAAGGCAUAAGGGAGCUUGACUGCGAGACCUACAAGUCGAGCAGGGUCGAAAGACGGACUUAGUGAUCCGGUGGUUCCGCAUGGAAGGGCCAUCGCUCAACGGAUAAAAGCUACCCCGGGGAUAACAGGCUUAUCUCCCCCAAGAGUUCACAUCGACGGGGAGGUUUGGCACCUCGAUGUCGGCUCAUCGCAUCCUGGGGCUGUAGUCGGUCCCAAGGGUUGGGCUGUUCGCCCAUUAAAGCGGUACGCGAGCUGGGUUCAGAACGUCGUGAGACAGUUCGGUCCCUAUCCGUCGUGGGCGUAGGAAAUUUGAGAGGAGCUGUCCUUAGUACGAGAGGACCGGGAUGGACAUACCUCU
RNAcentral lists this ribosomal RNA (2378 nucleotides) under Staphylococcus aureus. Its description in RNAcentral is "partial 23S ribosomal RNA". It matches the Rfam family "Bacterial large subunit ribosomal RNA", at positions 328 to 2710 of the family's 2925-position model. The record is from RNAcentral. Lineage: Bacteria; Bacillati; Bacillota; Bacilli; Caryophanales; Staphylococcaceae.